RNAcentral lists this ribosomal RNA (253 nucleotides) under uncultured bacterium. RNAcentral's name for it is "partial 16S ribosomal RNA". It matches the Rfam family "Bacterial small subunit ribosomal RNA", at positions 524 to 776 of the family's 1533-position model. The record is from RNAcentral.
UACAGAGGGUGCAAGCGUUGUUCGGAAUUAUUGGGCGUAAAGGGCGCGUAGGCGGUGCUGUAAGUCUGUAGUGAAAUCUCUGGGCUCAACUCAGAGUCUGCUAUAGAAACUGCAGUGCUAGAGUGUGGGAGAGGUGAGUGGAAUUCCUGGUGUAGCAGUGAAAUGCGUAGAUAUCAGGAGGAACACCGAUGGCGAAGGCAGGUCUCUGGGCUGACACUGACGCUCAUGCACGAAAGCGUGGGGAGCAAACAGG